CCCGUAGUUGACGACGUGUGUUCAGUGAAAUCGAGUAGGGCGGGACACGUGAUAUCCUGUCUGAAUAUGGGGGGACCAUCCUCCAAGGCUAAAUACUACUGACUGACCGAUAGUGAACCAGUACCGUGAGGGAAAGGCGAAAAGAACCCCUGUGAGGGGAGUGAAAUAGAACCUGAAACCGUGUACGUACAAGCAGUAGGAGCAGGCUUUGUCCUGUGACUGCGUACCUUUUGUAUAAUGGGUCAGCGACUUAUAUUCAGUGGCAAGGUUAACCAUCUAGGGGAGCCGUAGGGAAACCGAGUCUUAACUGGGCGUUCAGUCUCUGGAUAUAGACCCGAAACCAGGUGAUCUAGCCAUGGGCAGGUUGAAGGUUGAGUAACAUCAACUGGAGGACCGAACCGACUAAUGUUGAAAAAUUAGCGGAUGACUUGUGGCUAGGGGUGAAAGGCCAAUCAAACCUGGAGAUAGCUGGUUCUCCCCGAAAGCUAUUUAGGUAGCGCCUCGGACGAAUACUACUGGGGGUAGAGCACUGUUAAGGCUAGGGGGUCAUCCCGACUUACCAACCCUUUGCAAACUCCGAAUACCAGUAAGUACUAUCCGGGAGACACACGGCGGGUGCUAACGUCCGUCGUGGAGAGGGAAACAACCCAGACCGCCAGCUAAGGUCCCAAAUUACUACUAAGUGGGAAACGAUGUGGGAAGGCUCAGACAGCCAGGAUGUUGGCUUAGAAGCAGCCAUCAUUUAAAGAAAGCGUAAUAGCUCACUGGUCGAGUCGGCCUGCGCGGAAGAUGUAACGGGGCUAAGUAGUAAACCGAAGCUGCGGCAAUGUGCUUUUGCACAUUGGGUAGGGGAGCGUUCUGUAAGCGGUUGAAGGUGUGUGGUAACGCAUGCUGGACGUAUCAGAAGUGCGAAUGCUGACAUGAGUAACGAUAAAGGGGGUGAAAAACCUCCUCGCCGGAAGACCAAGGGUUCCUGUCCAACGUUAAUCGGGGCAGGGUAAGUCGACCCCUAAGGCGAGGCCGAAAGGCGUAGUCGAUGGGAAACGGGUUAAUAUUCCCGUACUUCUUACAAUUGCGAUGGGGGGACGGAGAAGGCUAGGUGGGCCUGGCGACGGUUGUCCAGGUUCAAGUGCGUAGGCUU
This 1141-nucleotide ribosomal RNA is filed under the name Vibrio parahaemolyticus. RNAcentral's name for it is "partial 23S ribosomal RNA". It matches the Rfam family "Bacterial large subunit ribosomal RNA", at positions 372 to 1527 of the family's 2925-position model. RNAcentral also lists the same sequence under 1 other name. Lineage: Bacteria; Pseudomonadati; Pseudomonadota; Gammaproteobacteria; Vibrionales; Vibrionaceae. The record is from RNAcentral.